This 253-nucleotide ribosomal RNA is filed under the name uncultured bacterium. Its description in RNAcentral is "partial 16S ribosomal RNA". It matches the Rfam family "Bacterial small subunit ribosomal RNA", at positions 524 to 776 of the family's 1533-position model. The record is from RNAcentral.
UACGUAGGGUGCGAGCGUUGUCCGGAUUUAUUGGGCGUAAAGAGCUCGUAGGCGGCUCGUUGCGUCGGCUGUGAAAACCCGCAGCUCAACUGUGGGCUUGCAGCCGAUACGGGCGGGCUAGGAUUCGGUAGGGGAGACUGGAAUUCCUGGUGUAGCGGUGAAAUGCGCAGAUAUCAGGAGGAACACCGGUGGCGAAGGCGGUUCUCUGGGCCUGUACUGACGCUGAGGAACGAAAGCGUGGGGAGCGAACAGG